Long non-coding RNA from Ficedula albicollis (Collared flycatcher), 1279 nucleotides. The record is from Ensembl. NCBI's taxonomy places the organism in Eukaryota, Metazoa, Chordata, Aves, Passeriformes, Muscicapidae.
UUACCUGAAAUGUUCACUUUGUAACCAGGCAAUGGGGCCCAAAUCUACCCCUGCACCAGCACUGAGUAUAGAAGAGAUGCACAGGGGAGGAGACUUGUCCCUCCUCAGCCUCAAGCUCAUGGCACAGAGAUUGGUUUUCCCAUGGAAAGCAGAUAGCACAUCAAUUACCCUGCUCCAGGCAUGGCCUGGGACUGGGAUGCUUCAUGCAGUUCCAGCCAUUAGGAAGGAGAGCCCUUUCUCCAGCUACCAGUUGAGGAAAACCACAAUUUUUCAUUGUAUGAGCUGGAAAACCAAGCACCUAAAUUCAUCUGCUUCUUUAUUUACUCCUCCCUCAGUGCUGUUGGAUCUUCAGGCUGGAGGCAGGAAACACUCUGCUGAUCUUUUUGGCUCUAAGGAUGCAUUUUCCAGUCUGAACAAACCCCAGGAGAUUUGAGGUUUUAUUCUUGCUGCAUGACAAGCAGCAGGAGCCGUAGGUGUGGGGUGCUUGGGAUAUAUCCCACCACACCACAGCUGGCAAAACAAAUCUUUCCACAAAGCUUGCACCACCUGCCCAGCUUCGUCCCCACAGGAAAUCCAGCCUCCCCCGCUCCUGGAGACAAGAGCUGGACCUUUGUUUGCAGCUCCCCUUUCACAAAUAAAACCAGUGCUGACUAGUAAACACAGUGCCACUGAAUGUGCAGAGCAACACUCGAAGAUUGGAAGAUAAUUGUGGGUUUUUCUACUGACUUGGGUAAGAGGAGCUGCCAAAUCCUUGAACUGUGGGCAAACAGCUCCUUGUUACUGAAAUUUGCUUUCUAGCAGCACCCUAAGGUGUUUUGUGCUUCUUAUGCACUCAGUUUGAGGGGAUGGUUGGGAUUUUAAGAGGAGAGAAUUAGGGGCAGAUCCAACCUAAAUACAAAACUGACCCAUCAGGAAGAGUUUAUCUGCAGGGAGUGACAUGCAAAUGUAUAGGAACAACACGAGGAUCCCUACACCGGGUCUGACCUGAAGUCCUGCUAGAUGAGUAUCUAACCUCCAAAUAAGUCUGAAACCAGUGACUUCAGGACCAGGUAAGCAUAUCCCUCCAAAUAUGAAAAUUAUAUUUCCCUUCUAGAAGUGCUAAGAAUUUAAACACUCUUAAAUUUAGUCUUUUUAUAUCUCUCCUGCCCUAACUAGCCCUUACAAGUUCUGUAUCUCCCAAACUCUCCCAUAAAAAGGGUCUCAAGACGGAAGAAUUGAAAGAAUUUGAACAUUAUGUGAGCCCUCAUUUGCCUCUUCCAGAUAUAUAGUACUUCAUUGC